Molecule: long non-coding RNA, 1787 nt
Organism: Gallus gallus (chicken)
Lineage: Eukaryota; Metazoa; Chordata; Aves; Galliformes; Phasianidae
Source: Ensembl
CUUCCCAGACCUCACUGAAGGUUGGCAGUGGAGGUGAGGGUAUCUUGCUCGAGAUUCCUGCCUAUCUCAGGCUUUCUAAAGGUGUUAGAUGAGAUGAUCUAAUUGUCUCUUCUGGCCCUAUGACAAAGUGAAGCCUCUACUUGACUGUAUUCCUGGACUUCUCUCAAACUCUUUUCACCAGGCCUUUGGGGAAGGAGGUUUCUAGUGGAGAAGAAUUUUAUAGAGCAGAGAAGGGUUUGCUAGCAGAAUUAUUUGCUGUUAACAGUUGAUAUUUUUGGGAGAAGAGAAUGUUUGCCAAGGUUUUGAAAUGUCUUUUAAAUUUUCACUAUAGGUGCCUAUGGCAAUACUUAGGCAUGUCUUUGUAUAUUUUGUAGAGGAACAUGAGUCCACAUAUUUCAUGGCAGAGCUAAAUUUCAACACAUAUUUGUAUGUCUCAGGAAAAAAAAAAAAGUGGGAUAUGACUAUCAUCUGUCUCAUGUCACCUUUCCUGGAAGCAAUGCUUUCCAGUUUUGCUAAAUUCAUCCAUCUCUUAAGCAAACUGUCAGAGAUUUAGAGGAUCAGAACUGUGCUUUUGUUAGCUCUGGUUCACUUAAGAGGUCUGCGGACUCACUUUUGGAAAUCAUAGCCCUUAUUUAAAAGGAGGCCUAGAAACAUUUAUAAAAGUAGCACAAUGAGAUGGAGUGAUUUGUAACCAUGGAUAAAUCAUCAAAUACACAACCUGCAAGACAACCAAGGUAUUAUACAGUCCAUUGUACAGGUUACGCACAAUUGCCAGCUGGCUCUGUCUCGCAAAGCAAUUUGGAAAACUUAAGAUGGUUUGUGGGAAGGAACACUGACAAAACCUUUGUAAGCCUUUUGAACAGUUUAGCCAUUUAUAAUUUAGAAAUGAUUACAGCUUUUCGGAAAAUACUUUGCUUAUGACCUACUGCAUUCAAUAUGAUCCUUAGUUCAGUGAGCCAUGCUGUGUAGCACAAUCUGUCACUGAACCAUAUGAAUAAUACCCAAGUGAACCUUUUGUCCCUGGCCACAACAGAGACAACUGGCUCUCCUGCUUCUAGGUGCUGUUGGGGUGAAUUGUCCGAAGAGACAGAUGUCACUAACGAAUGAUAUACAGUGGGCAGUGGGGCUUGUGGGGCUUACAAUGGCUGCAACAUCCAAAGGCCAUAUGUAGCAAUCUCAUUAGUUUCGUGAUUGCUGCCUGCACAGGCUGUUGGAAAUGUGUAAAAGUGCAAGUUCAAAAAGGAAAGUAAUGUAUCAUAUUUGAAUUUUCUCCUUCAGUCAUGCAAAACAGAGAUCCUGCUGAGUUUGGAAACAAGAAGUUGUAAAGAUGAGUGUAUACCUUAAUUGUGUGUCUUUUAAAUGGCUUAGCUUUACACUGUAUUGCGCUACUGCCACAGCCCGAAAUGAUAUUGAAAAUGUGCAAUGUCCUUUGGGCAUUUUCAUCUGAAAAUAUUUAUCCACUUUUUGUUUCAUUGCCCAGCAGAUGUUUAUCCUGUGCUAGGAAUGCAGGAACAACAUCUGUAGAAUUUCUGGGAAGUUCAGCUUUGGAUAAAUCUGUGAAGAAAAACACAUGAUGUGGGUAAUGUCUCUAUUUUACUCCUUUUAGUUUUCUUCUCCUUCCUCAGUUUAGGAUGAGUGUUAUAGGCAUGCAUAUGUACAGUAUCUCAGUCUGAUGGAGUCGUUUACCUCCGGUCUACUUUGACAACUUUGGAAAAACCUUUUGAUUUUUGGAACUGAGCAGCACUUCUAAUUGAUGAAAACAGGAAGACAAUAAAAAGUUCUGUUUC